Molecule: ribosomal RNA, 429 nt
Filed under: Gemmatimonadota bacterium
Lineage: Bacteria; Pseudomonadati; Gemmatimonadota
Description: Gemmatimonadetes bacterium partial 16S ribosomal RNA
Rfam family: Bacterial small subunit ribosomal RNA
Source: RNAcentral
UAGGGAAUCUUCGGCAAUGGACGAAAGUCUGACCGAGCAACGCCGCGUGAGUGAAGAAGGUUUUCGGAUCGUAAAACUCUGUUGUUAGAGAAGAACAAGGACGUUAGUAACUGAACGUCCCCUGACGGUAUCUAACCAGAAAGCCACGGCUAACUACGUGCCAGCAGCCGCGGUAAUACGUAGGUGGCAAGCGUUGUCCGGAUUUAUUGGGCGUAAAGCGAGCGCAGGCGGUUUCUUAAGUCUGAUGUGAAAGCCCCCGGCUCAACCGGGGAGGGUCAUUGGAAACUGGGAGACUUGAGUGCAGAAGAGGAGAGUGGAAUUCCAUGUGUGGCGGUGAAAUGCGUAGAUAUAUGGAGGAACACCAGUGACGAAGGCGGCUCUCUGGUCUGUAACUGACGCUGAGGCUCGAAAGCGUGGGGAGCAAACAGG